UUGGGUCACUGACAGCUUCUUGUCCAACUUGUGAGAUGCAGACUUUAGAAGUCAUUUCAUCUAGCCAAACUUUAGCAUACUAUCUCUUAAGUUUAUUCUACAAAAGAGAUGAGCUCAUCAGUGAGAAGUUUUAGAGUGGAAAGAAAGAAAAUUUUACAGACAGCAAUCUUAAGUCAAGAAUAGCUUUGCUGCUGGCAACAGUGGAUUAAUCUGACAAAUAGAGUCCUAUCAAUAAUACUUCAAUAACAGCAUGGGAAUAGUCUUAAGUGUCUUAAGUCUUUUACCUAAAGAAUUUUGACAACUCUAUUGCAUCUGAAUUCUUCCACCAGAAAUGCCUUCAAAAGGUAGGUUUGAG
This 355-nucleotide long non-coding RNA is filed under the name Parus major (Great Tit). RNAcentral's name for it is "lncRNA (ENSPMJG00000001717.1)". The record is from RNAcentral. Lineage: Eukaryota; Metazoa; Chordata; Aves; Passeriformes; Paridae.